ACCUUAGCGCGCUCUGGGCCCAUUUUCCGUCGCCGUAGCAGCGCAGUAAGGACGCCACCCCGGUGUGACGGGGGUAUGACCAAGAAUAAUGAAGUAAGGUAAAAAGAUUAAAGAAUAAAGUGAAGGAGUUGACCCAUUUGCUGUUAUUUUGUCAUGAAUAUACUAAGACUGAAAUUAGUAUAUGAUGCAGAGUGCACACGUGUAAAUGGUAUGUGUCGAUGUCAUAGACAAUAGAGGAGCGAAGAAAAGUUGCAUCAUAGAACACCAGUGUAGUGACGAACGAUAAUUAUCAAUAACAAGGAAACACAAUAAUACUGUGAUAAAAUGUUAGUUUCCUUUCAAAUAAAAUAUUUUGAACUAAAAAA
This is a long non-coding RNA of Priapulus caudatus, 365 nucleotides long. RefSeq lists it as uncharacterized. The record is from RefSeq and is a predicted model, not a curated record. Lineage: Eukaryota; Metazoa; Priapulida; Priapulimorpha; Priapulimorphida; Priapulidae. The transcript has 2 exons.